UUGACGGUAUUUAACCAGAAAGCCACGGCUAACUACGUGCCAGCAGCCGCGGUAAUACGUAGGUGGCAAGCGUUGUCCGGAUUUAUUGGGCGUAAAGCGAGCGCAGGCGGUUUUUUAAGUCUGAUGUGAAAGCCUUCGGCUCAACCGAAGAAGUGCAUCGGAAACUGGGAAACUUGAGUGCAAAAGAGGACAGUGGAACUCCAUGUGUAGCGGUGAAAUGCGUAGAUAUAUGGAAGAACACCAGUGGCGAAGGCGGCUGUCUGGUCUGUAACUGACGCUGAGGCUCGAAAGUAUGGGUAGCAAACAGGAUUAGAUACCCUGGUAGUCCAUACCGUAAACGAUGAAUGCUAAGUGUUGGAGGGUUUCCGCCCUUCAGUGCUGCAGCUAACGCAUUAAGCAUUCCGCCUGGGGAGUACGGCCGCAAGGCUGAAACUCAAAGGAAUUGACGGGGGCCCGCACAAGCGGUGGAGCAUGUGGUUUAAUUCGAAGCUACGCGAAGAACCUUACCAGGUCUUGACAUACUAUGCAAAUCUAAGAGAUUAGACGUUCCCUUCGGGGACAUGGAUACAGGUGGUGCAUGGUUGUCGUCAGCUCGUGUCGUGAGAUGUUGGGUUAAUUCCCGCAACGAGCGCAACCCUUAUUAUCAAUUGCCAGCAGU
This 658-nucleotide ribosomal RNA is filed under the name Lactiplantibacillus pentosus. RNAcentral's name for it is "bacterial SSU rRNA". It matches the Rfam family "Bacterial small subunit ribosomal RNA", at positions 469 to 1125 of the family's 1533-position model. The record is from RNAcentral. Lineage: Bacteria; Bacillati; Bacillota; Bacilli; Lactobacillales; Lactobacillaceae.